GAGACUUGGGGCGAAGGUAAAGGAAGUUCAAGAUAAUAUUCCACAAGUUGAGGGGAGAAGCAAAAGGGACAGGACAUCCGGUGUAAUGCCCUGAAUCAAGCACGUUUUGGCGAGGCGUAUUGUGUAACAAGUCUCGGGAUUUAUUUUGACCGAAUGCUCCGUAACUUAUGUGUAAACCGGAGUUUUAAAACAACAUUUUUUCAGAUGAUUGUACGUCGAAUGCAGUCUGUAAGAUCUCUAAAAUAAAUAGCCUCACUGAGACAGGUUCUUCUUGGUUUAAUUAACGGGCAUCCGUUAAUGUGAAGAAAGAACCAUGGGAUCCGCGCGAACGGAACAGAGACACACAAACAUAGAGCUAAAACGAUAAGCAGACAUAGGAAAUACAAUUUCAGAGAACGGCGUUACUCAUAUACCACACACCUCUAACUGGAAUUCACUCACCUGCAGGAUGUGAUGAUUGGUUCCCGUGCCACGCUUCCACAAUCAAGGAAAACGUUCCCUGCAAAAGACGGAUAAGAAU
Molecule: long non-coding RNA, 520 nt
Organism: Tribolium castaneum (red flour beetle)
Lineage: Eukaryota; Metazoa; Arthropoda; Insecta; Coleoptera; Tenebrionidae
Exons: 3
Source: RefSeq, a predicted model, not a curated record